UCCGGUUUGUCACCGGCAGUCUCAUUAGAGUGCCCUUUCGUAGCAACUAAUGACAAGGGUUGCGCUCGUUGCGGGACUUAACCCAACAUCUCACGACACGAGCUGACGACAGCCAUGCAGCACCUGUGUUCCGGUUCUCUUGCGAGCACUCCUCUAUCUCUAAAGGAUUCCAGACAUGUCAAGGGUAGGUAAGGUUUUUCGCGUUGCAUCGAAUUAAUCCACAUCAUCCACCGCUUGUGCGGGUCCCCGUCAAUUCCUUUGAGUUUUAACCUUGCGGCCGUACUCCCCAGGCGGUCAACUUCACGCGUUAGCUACGGUACUGAGGAAUCGCUCCCCCAACACCCAGUUGACAUCGUUUAGGGCGUGGACUAC
This 372-nucleotide unclassified non-coding RNA is filed under the name uncultured Gammaproteobacteria bacterium. Its description in RNAcentral is "contains 16S-23S intergenic spacer region". The record is from RNAcentral. Lineage: Bacteria; Pseudomonadati; Pseudomonadota; Gammaproteobacteria.